This 26-nucleotide non-coding RNA is filed under the name Mus musculus (house mouse). Lineage: Eukaryota; Metazoa; Chordata; Mammalia; Rodentia; Muridae. The record is from RNAcentral.
GAGCAGGAAAAAAUAGUGUGUGCCCA